RNAcentral lists this transfer RNA (65 nucleotides) under Bacteroides stercorirosoris. It matches the Rfam family "tRNA", at positions 5 to 66 of the family's 71-position model. Rfam says of the family: Transfer RNA (tRNA) molecules are approximately 80 nucleotides in length. Lineage: Bacteria; Pseudomonadati; Bacteroidota; Bacteroidia; Bacteroidales; Bacteroidaceae. The record is from RNAcentral. RNAcentral also lists the same sequence under 1 other name.
CUGUAGUUCAGCUGGUUAGAGCGUCAGAUUGUGGUUCUGAAUGUCGUGGGUUCGAAUCCCAUCAG